UACGGAGGGUGCAAGCGUUAAUCGGAAUUACUGGGCGUAAAGCGCACGCAGGCGGGCUGUCAAGUCGGAUGUGAAAUCCCCGGGCUCAACCUGGGAACUGCAUUCGAAACUGGCAGGCUAGAGUCUUGUAGAGGGGGGUAGAAUUCCAGGUGUAGCGGUGAAAUGCGUAGAGAUCUGGAGGAAUACCGGUGGCGAAGGCGGCCCCCUGGACAAAGACUGACGCUCAGGUGCGAAAGCGUGGGGAGCAAACAGG
RNAcentral lists this ribosomal RNA (253 nucleotides) under uncultured bacterium. RNAcentral describes it as "partial 16S ribosomal RNA". It matches the Rfam family "Bacterial small subunit ribosomal RNA", at positions 524 to 776 of the family's 1533-position model. The record is from RNAcentral.